This 301-nucleotide ribosomal RNA is filed under the name uncultured bacterium. RNAcentral's name for it is "partial 16S ribosomal RNA". It matches the Rfam family "Bacterial small subunit ribosomal RNA", at positions 509 to 808 of the family's 1533-position model. The record is from RNAcentral.
CAGUAGCCACGGUAAUACGUAGGGCGCAAGCGUUAUCCGGAAUUAUUGGGCGUAAAGAGCUCGUAGGCGGUUUGUCGCGUCUGCUGUGAAAUCCGGAGGCUCAACCUCCGGCCUGCAGUGGGUACGGGCAGACUAGAGUGCGGUAGGGGAGAUUGGAAUUCCUGGUGUAGCGGUGGAAUGCGCAGAUAUCAGGAGGAACACCGAUGGCGAAGGCAGAUCUCUGGGCCGUAACUGACGCUGAGGAGCGAAAGGGUGGGGAGCAAACAGGCUUAGAUACCCGCGUGUCCCUGUCUCUUAUACA